CCUACGGGCGGCUGUAGUGAGGAAUAUUGGUCAAUGGACGAGAGUCUGAACCAGCCAAGUAGCGUGAAGGAUGAUUGCCCUAUGGGUUGUAAACUUCUUUUAUAUGGGAAUAAAAUGUUCCACGUGUGGGAUUUUGUAUGUACCAUAUGAAUAAGGAUCGGCUAACUCCGUGCCAGCAGCCGCGGUAAUACGGAGGAUCCGAGCGUUAUCCGGAUUUAUUGGGUUUAAAGGGAGCGUAGGUGGAUUGUUAAGUCAGUUGUGAAAGUUUGCGGCUCAACCGUAAAAUUGCAGUUGAAACUGGCAGUCUUGAGUACAGUAGAGGUGGGCGGAAUUCGUGGUGUAGCGGUGAAAUGCUUAGAUAUCACGAAGAACUCCGAUUGCGAAGGCAGUUCACUGGACUGCAACUGACACUGAGGCUCGAAAGUGUGGGUAUCAAACAGGAUUAGAUACCCGGGUAGUC
This 460-nucleotide ribosomal RNA is filed under the name uncultured bacterium. Its description in RNAcentral is "partial 16S ribosomal RNA". It matches the Rfam family "Bacterial small subunit ribosomal RNA", at positions 338 to 795 of the family's 1533-position model. The record is from RNAcentral.